AGAUUCCAAGGUAACAAAGAGAAAUAAAACUUGCCUGAUUAGAAAGUCUUUAAGUAAUUUUGUUGAUAUUGCCAAGUCUGCCACAUUCUGAGAGCAAGGGAUUGAUCCUUUCUACCAUGUUUUUAAAGAAAUCAUAGGGGGAAAAAUGCCCUCACCCAUCAAAGCAUUUUACAACUCUUUUUCCAAGGUCAGCCUUCUGUUACUACUAUGACCUCCUUAGACAUUAACAGGGGAGCCUUGAGACUGCCACUGUGAACUUUGCCCCUGUUGAGAAAUGCUUGUCUUAUGAUGUCCCUUCUGAUAUUCUCCGUGGGGACACUCAGCAUCUUGCAUCAUUCGGCCGGACAGUUUGGAGUAGAAUCCUCUCCUAGGUUUAAGAGCAAAAGACCAAACAGAUGCUCAGCAUUCCAUAAAACCUACAUGGCCACUAGGAGAAAGGCAAAGCUUUCUAGAACAAUGUAGGCAGUCAGCAGUAUGUUCCCAGCUGGCUCUCAAUAAAUAAUGGCCAGUGGGAUCAUAAGACAGCGUCAAUAGGGGAAAAAUAAAGGGCUCAGUGGAGAACAUCUGACUCCAAACUUCUGUGAUGGGAGUAUGAUGGCUGGACAUGGAAGGCAUGACCAAAUCAAUGAGGCUCUUGUAGGCUAGGCUGUGGGGUCUGAAAGUCUUCCCAUAGUUAGUGGGAAAAUGUUGAAAGAUUGAACCAUGUGUAUACUCUAUUGUUGCCAGAGAAAUCACUCUUGCAGCAGUAGGGUAGGUAAAUGGGAAGGGACCAUAGAAGAGGAGAGUUGGAUAAACUAAGGGGCCAUUGUUGUGUCACAGUGGGAAAGGAUGAGGUUCUGAACUCAGAAACAGUGGGCUGGUAGAGAAGGAGACACAUUUGUGCAAUAUUUAGGAAGCAAAAUUGUAGAGCAGGAAUGGAUCUGAAGUCAAUGAAAAACUCUUCAUAGCUCUAGUUGUUGGGCUUCCCCAGAAGAUGACAUUGAAAGGAAGGUUUGGAUGCAAGUUGUUCAUUUAGGAGGAGAUCUCAGGAAGCACAAAGUAUUUCCUUGAGUCAGGACCUCCAAGUCCUCCCCUAACUAGCCACUGUGCCUUCUCCAGGUAGAAACAGCUUUCUGUCUCAUGACUGACACCCUUCCUUGGUUCCUGUCAUCUGUAGCCAGGUAUGCUGGGUGCUGGAGAGAGCCCUGGACUUGGAGUCAAAAGACUGCAGUUGGAGCAGAGGAUCUUCCCUCAGAAGUUCUGCUGUGGGCUGAGUCGUUUCACCUCUCUGGGCCCCAGAUGGACCUUUGUAAAACUGAGUGGAGGCGAGGAGGUGCAGCAGGUCCAUAAAUUCAUCAGCUUCCCAGGCUGCUUCCACCUUUGCUACAUGUGGCCUCAUCCUUACAGCCCAAGAUGGCUCCUAGGGCUCUAGCCAUCACAUGCUGGUACCAGAGAGCAAGAUGACUGAAGGGGAGGAAAGAGAGCAUGUGCUUGUCUCGUGAAGAGAUUUCCUGGAAGUUACACAAAACAUUUCUGUUUUCAGCUUGUUGACUAGAACAUAGUCGUCUGUCAUACUUAGUGUGGAGGGUGACCAAAGAGGGAGUGUUUUGUCUGAAUAGCAUUGCAUCCAGCCAGAUAGCGAGGGCAAGUAGCUGGAGGGAAGAGGAAGACAGACAUUGUAGAGGAAGCUAGCAGUGACUCCCCCCCAGAUUAUAUCCUAUUAAUAAAAGUAAGAACCUAAUUUAUGCCAUGUGCCUGGGCCUCACAGGGCCAUCACACCUCCAUGAAACAAAGUGCUUGGCCUCACUCUGGUUUGCUUUUGUCAUCUCUGAAACAAGGAGGUUUUACUUCCCCAUGUUUCCCAAAUGUCCAUCAUUCAAAUAAUGCUUCUGCUGUGUAGCCAUGUCUACAGCUGUGGUCAAUGCUCCUCAUCAAGGCCGCUGUCUGUGUACCACUCGUGAUUUAAUCAGUCCGUUUUCUUCCAGGGGACUCUCCCUUUAAGCUUCUCUCUCUCUCUCU
This 1998-nucleotide long non-coding RNA is filed under the name Homo sapiens (human). Its description in RNAcentral is "HSALNT0383684". The record is from RNAcentral. Lineage: Eukaryota; Metazoa; Chordata; Mammalia; Primates; Hominidae.